Long non-coding RNA from Ruditapes philippinarum (Manila clam), 4210 nucleotides. RefSeq lists it as uncharacterized. The record is from RefSeq and is a predicted model, not a curated record. The transcript is spliced from 3 exons. NCBI's taxonomy places the organism in Eukaryota, Metazoa, Mollusca, Bivalvia, Venerida, Veneridae.
UAAUUAAAGGCAUAAAUUCAAAUAACUAUUACUAUAAUUGCAAACGUAAUUUCCAGUGAUGUCGACUUGCAAUAGUAGAAAUUCUUUGUUUAGUAAUUAUUUGCAAUUACAUACAAACAAUAAUCGUGCUUGUAAAUGUCACAAUAUCAAGUGCACGAAGCCUAGGUUGGGAUAACGAUAGGCCAGGCGUUGUUUUGUUGAUUUGACAGUGACUGAAAUAAGUUUGUUUAAAACUACAAUCUACUGAACUUGACAAAAAUAUAUGUUAUAUUCUAGUUAUUAUUGAAAUCUAUUCUGGAAUUACUCUUUAAAGGCGACGUGUGUAUAUACAUAUACAAGUUUAACAAUAAAGAAAACAACUACCACUAAUUGAUAUGAAAAUAUCUGUAAUGAUUUGGAUUGUCAUGUUGCUGGUAAUAUUGGAGACAAGAUCUGAAAAACAGCAAAGAUGUAUUGUACAUGGAAAGGGUUGUAAGGACACUGGGCCAUUAAUUAAAGGGAAAGGUCGAUGCGGACAAACUGGAAUGAGUUGCGCUAGAAUAGGAGGAACGUGUCGAUGUAAAUCAAAAUUGAUAUUAAACAAACGACAUUAUCGAAAACUAAAUUAAUAGCAUGAGCGACUGAGAUUAAUGGCAGGAUGAUCUACGGGGCGAAUCCAAAUUAACGAAACGUUUUUCCCAAGCUUUACUUCCUUGAAUGAAUACAAAAUAAUGGAUUAAAUGUCUAGACAGGAUGUGCACAGUGUUUUAAUUGCGUUUAAAUAUAUUUGUUCUAAAGAAAAUUAUAUUAGAUAGAACGAAAUUCGAUCCGCACAUUUUGUUAAACCGAAAUUCAAAUUGUAAGAUUACUUUUAGCCGAAUAAGAAAAUGUUAUAAAAAGUUCUGUUUUAUGUAUGACCCAAGUUUUUGUUUCUUCUACAGCUUAUUAUAGUGCCAUAAUAAUCAAAUAGUACUAAUAUUAUUAUAUUAUCUAAAGAUGUAACAUAACUAUUGUUUUUGUUACACUAUAUAAUAAACUGCACUUUGUCAACAGACAGUUCAUAAAUGUAUUGAAUGAAAAUAAAAUAUUACAAAAGAACGAAAUAUUAUAGGGACAAUUUAUACAUUCUUUUGUCUUCCCGAAGUAAGUCUUUCCGAAGUGACCAGGGAAUCAUCAGUAAUAUUAUCAUUCUUGUCACAUUCAUCACCUUUUUAAAUUCGUUCAAUGUUUACAAAACUGGUUUUAGAAAGCAUCCUUGUUUCCACCUUUGCAAAUAAGUUGAAUAGUUAAUUGUCAUAAUAGCCUUCCAUAUACAUGCAUUAUAUUUAAUUUAACCUGCGUUCCAGUAAAUCUUUUUAAGCAUUAUAACUGUCCUUUUCAUCAACUUGAAGACUUAGAGAAUCCUUCGUUAUCUUUACUUACCAAAAGAAAUAAGCGUGCGGACAAAGAUACUUGACUACUAGAAUCAAACUGUAACGGUAAUAUAACGACUAGUGUAGGAUGACCUCAAAUGCAUUUACGUGCAUUAUUUCAGAAACGAGCAACUACCUGAGUAGAAGAACCGACUAGCUAGCUGAAUUGCUUUCUCACAUGAAAGAAUACAGUUUCUGGAGGCUUUCGAACCUAUAGCGGUGGUUUCAAAUUGUUUGUGCAGGUCUGAAUUUUCAGAUAAAUGCAAUGUUACAGUGACAUUAUGCCAAUCCAAAUGUUAAGUGCACAGGUAAAUAUCAAGACAUUUCUUUAAUUUGUCAUUAUUUGUUUUGAUUUUGUUCAUCGCAAAAAUAACUAUUAUCCAACAAGAAUAGCGUAGAUUUCCUAAUAUAUUGUUCUAAAUUUAUCUUCGAUAGAUAACAAAGAGUCUGAAUGAAUCUGUAUUGUCAUAAGAAAGGAAAGCAUCUUCCCCCACAAAUGAAUAAACGACAAAAACAUCAACAUCAACAGAAGAACAAAAAAAUUACCUCCAAAACAACAACAAUAGAACCAAACAAAUCAACAAAAAAUACAAAAAACAAAAACACAAACAAAAAAAAUAAAAGCGCAGAUAAGUAUACAUACUAAGAAGCCAAAUUCUUCAAUUACUUUGAAUGGCACUGUCGCGCAAUUUAAAAAGGCAAGAACAAGUGGCUGUAAUUAUUGUUUUCAUUGUUUGUACUGAAAUAUAUAGUUCUGUACACAAAGUGCAUAGAGUAUAAAAAUCUUAAUUGUGAGCAAACACUAACAAAAUCGUUCUCCAUCUUACUUAAAAAUGUUUAAAUAAAUUAUUUCCUUUUUAAAUAUGCUAUAUUUCUACAAUCUUUUUUCAGUCAUAGUAUUGGUAUAUAAACACACAAAAUAAAACUAGAGCUUUGAUAGCAGAUUGAGAGGGAUAUAUUGUUUACUUUUGUAAAUGUUUUGUAUUAUGGUUGGAAAAUCAUAUUUUAAUGAAAUCCGUAUUGAAUAUACAACGAAUGAUGAAUCAAGAAUCUCAGUUAUCAAGUAUGUUCUAUAUUUUAACUCUCAUACACUUUCCCAAUGUAUCGCAAUAAUAUCACAAAUUACUUUUAAUAGCUUAAAGAACAGGAUCUUGCCACUUUGUAACUUCCCGUUAUUAUAUGAAUAGGGACUACCAGUUAAAAAACACAACGCAUUUCUGUAUAUUUAAAAUAAACCAAUGAGCACGAUGAAUACUAAAAACGCUUAAAUAGCUCUCGAUAAAAAAUGAUGAGUACACGUUCAAUAAAAUUCGUUUUGGCUGCCUUUCUUUUGCUUGCUGCUCUUCAAGAAAUUGUCGGACGACGGAAGUGUAGACGAUGGGGAAAUACUUGUAGAGAUCUCAAACCACCAGGCAGCAAUGGAGGUCUUUGUGAAAGGACGGGACCUUUCUACAGAUGUAUCAGAAUUGGACGGUAUUGCAGGUGUCGGGCAUCAAUUGUCCUACAUCGUCCUCCACAUUCGUCCACGGAAUCUGACGACGAGGAUUUCAUUCAAAGAGAGUAGCAUGGCAAGGAGCAGUAAAAUAAAUGCAGAUUGUGUGGCAUAGAUAGUGUGCAUAAAACAAAUUGUCUUCUUGACGUGAAUCAACAUGUGAAGAUUCUGUGGUUAAAUUAUGUUAUUUUUUAUGGAUUUUGAAUUUGCUUAUGUUAGAAUUUCUUACAUGCGAAUCCAGUUACUUUCAGACACGGGCCUAAAUGAAUCUCUGAAGCUUUGUUAAUGAUCAUUAUUUUCUGCUUAUGCAAAAAUAUCGCAUAUGAAAUGUUGUUUUCUCAUUCUAUCAAAUUCAUAAUAAAGUAACUUCUACAAGUACACAAAAAAUAUUACGAAUUGUUAUUUUCGUAAACAAAAAAAAAUAUAACAAAUCAAUGUAGUAAAUAUUUUCAAGUAUUUCUAUACUAUAUUUAUGUUCACAAAGCCAGUAGAAUCUUAUGGUUACUGUAAAACUUAUAACAAACUAUAAAUUGAACACGAUAACUUUCACAUUAUUCGAUCGAAUCAUCAUCAUAUAAUUGUUUUGAAAGUUAUUCAAUUAUUACAUUUCACAUUUUUAUUGCAAUACCGAAGAAUGAUAUAAGUGUAUAGGAACAUGUUAACCGGAGUAGCAUAGUGGUUAUCGAGUUGUUUUCAAAGUUCAAAUCUGCAAUUGUGCACUCAUUAAGUGUUUUCUUUUACUUUCAGAAUAUAUUUUAAUAACUUGUCACGAGAGUUUUGAUUUUAUCUUAUAUAAAAGUGUAAUUUAAUUAAAAUAUUGCACAAUUGAAAGUUAAACUUAUCACGGUUAAACACAACUAAAAGUAUAGGAUUAUCUCUGAACACAUUAUUAAUUUUAUUCUAUUUUGUUUCUGAAUUCCAUUUGCCACAUGUUUAACAAUCUUGGCUCAUUUGUAUAAUUAUAUCUAUUUUCUUCCAUUGCUAUUUAUUCGGUCAUUUUUCACCUAAUUCUUAUUUUCGGCAUUGUUGACUAUAACUCGAUCUAGCUGUUGAAUACGAAUCUGUGUUAAACUAUGAUGUUCUGAACGUUGCAAUCCUGUUCGUUGAAAAUUGCCUUUUCAAGGAAACAAACAAGGAUCUCUAUACUCACCGAGCGGACACUCUACAACUACAGUAUUACGCUGAAAAGACAAAACAUGAGUAAUUGUUUAGGUGGUUAUAUAUUUAGGCAUACAAAUAAUAUGCUUUUAUAUAAGAAUGAUCGACAACCGUAUUUGUCAUUUUUAAUGUAAAUAGAUAACAAAAUGAAUAAAGAAUUCGAGCUGUA